RNAcentral lists this ribosomal RNA (253 nucleotides) under uncultured bacterium. RNAcentral's name for it is "partial 16S ribosomal RNA". It matches the Rfam family "Bacterial small subunit ribosomal RNA", at positions 524 to 776 of the family's 1533-position model. The record is from RNAcentral.
UACGUAGGGUGCAAGCGUUGUCCGGAAUUAUUGGGCGUAAAGAGCUCGUAGGCGGUCUGUCGCGUCGGCUGUGAAAACUCGGGGCUCAACCCCGAGCCUGCAGUCGAUACGGGCAGACUAGAGUGCGGUAGGGGAGACUGGAAUUCCUGGUGUAGCGGUGAAAUGCGCAGAUAUCAGGAGGAACACCUGCGGCGAAGGCGGGUAGCUGGGCCGACACUGACGCUGAGGCGCGAAAGCCAGGGGAGCGAACGGG